CGGACGGGUGAGUAAUGUCUGGGAAACUGCCUGAUGGAGGGGGGUAACUACUGGAAACGGUAGCUAAUACCGCAUAACGUCGCAAGGCCAAAGAGGGGGACCGUUAGGGCCUCUUGCCAUCGGAUGUGCCCAGAUGGGAUUAGCUAGUAGGUGGGGUAACGGCUCACCUAGGCGACGAUCCCUAGCUGGUCUGAGAGGAUGACCAGCCACACUGGAACUGAGACACGGUCCAG
RNAcentral lists this ribosomal RNA (233 nucleotides) under uncultured bacterium. Its description in RNAcentral is "partial 16S ribosomal RNA". It matches the Rfam family "Bacterial small subunit ribosomal RNA", at positions 99 to 334 of the family's 1533-position model. The record is from RNAcentral.